Molecule: ribosomal RNA, 237 nt
Filed under: uncultured bacterium
Lineage: Bacteria
Description: partial 16S ribosomal RNA
Rfam family: Bacterial small subunit ribosomal RNA
Source: RNAcentral
CGAACGGGUGAGUAACGCGUGAGGAACCUGCCUCAAAGAGGGGGACAACAGUUGGAAACGACUGCUAAUACCGCAUAAGCCCACGGGUCGGCAUCGACCAGAGGGAAAAGGAGCAAUCCGCUUUGAGAUGGCCUCGCGUCCGAUUAACUAGUUGGUGAGGUAACGGCCCACCAAGGCAACGAUCGGUAGCCGGACUGAGAGGUUGAACGGCCACAUUGGGACUGAGACACGGCCCAG